AGGUGGGAGGCUGCAGUUCACCAAAUACAUAGCAAAACACCAGGUGCUUGACUUCUGCUUAUCUGAUGGUUUAACAAAUGAACAUCCUUCCUCUGCUCAUCCCGUUCUCUCUCCAGAUGGACUGUAGUUUUUUUCACAGAUUUGAAAAGCUGCAGAGAGAGUUAAAUCACAGCAGCAAGAAAGCACGUCCAUUCUGUCCCCACCUUUGUACCCCAUCUCCCCAUGUUUUCAGUUGAACCACAAAAUUACAGGAGUUGGUGGAGGGUUUCAUUAGAUUUUCUGCUGCAAGUUCAGAAUCUUACUGCAAGAGUUCCCUCUGCUGGUCAGUGAUGGGGAAAUGCAUAACAUUUCCCUGCUGUAAGAAGCUCCUUUUGCUACAUUUAUGUUGAAAUAAUUUCUUAUUCAAUUACUCUCUGUCCUUCAUUAUUUUUAACAGCCUUUCCUUACUUGGGGCUUCUCCAGAUAAUAACCUUUUCCAGAUUCCUUUUUCUUCCCAUAAUUAACACUUAUAUUCCACUCCAUUUACACACCCUUCAGUAGUUUACUACCAUUGACCCAUCCCUUUUGCACAGAGGCUACAAUAAAGGUGGAGCCCUUCUGCACAAACGUGCAUUUCUACAUGGGCCUUUUCACAAGCAGAGGAUUGCAGCCUGAGCUGAGAGGCCAGACAGAUCUGGGCCCCAGACUCGCAAGAGUAAAAGUAGAUCAGUUUGUAAUUCUGAAAAAUUCAUGGUUAAUAACAAGAUUCUGAAAGAAGCUGUAAAAUAUCAAGAGAAUAUUCCAUUCACCUCCCUGGCAGUAAAAGCCCCAGGCCUGGUUUUCCUCUCCUGAUCUGAUUGUUCCUACCAGUCAGCCUAGAGAUUAUUUUUUCCUAAGGAGCAAUAAAACUUUGGCAACUGAUCUAAAGCCACCAUUUA
Molecule: long non-coding RNA, 917 nt
Organism: Oxyura jamaicensis (ruddy duck)
Lineage: Eukaryota; Metazoa; Chordata; Aves; Anseriformes; Anatidae
Exons: 3
Source: RefSeq, a predicted model, not a curated record